Long non-coding RNA from Pipistrellus kuhlii (Kuhl's pipistrelle), 1012 nucleotides. RefSeq lists it as uncharacterized. NCBI's taxonomy places the organism in Eukaryota, Metazoa, Chordata, Mammalia, Chiroptera, Vespertilionidae. The transcript is spliced from 3 exons. The record is from RefSeq and is a predicted model, not a curated record.
AAGCCGAUGCUCUAUCCAUUGAGCCAAACCGGUUUUGGCCCAAGGACCUUUCAGUCUGCAAACUGACACUAUCCACUGAGCCAAACCAGCUAGGGCUGUUUUCCAAUCUUUGAUGGCACCACUGCCCAGUUAUAAUCAUUUUUAACUAAUGUCUCACUUUGCAUAUUUUAAAAUUGCAUUUCCUGAAUAUCUUGUCUAGCAUUUCAAGGCAAAAUAGAGUAUAAAGGAGUGUAGGACAGAAGAGGGAAGAGUUGGUACUAAUAGCCUCUUGUUUCUGCCUUAUGUCUUCACUGAUUAUUUCUGAUAUCUCGUGCCUGACCCUUUCCACCUGCUGCUUCCUUAACUUUAGAUACAGACUUAAACACCAGCAAGUAAAACUAACAGCUUUUCCUGUGCCUUUCUCUGUUAUCUUAAAUUUCCCAGGCCCACUACAAAUAUGGCUCUGGCUCCACCACUCCAAUGAAACUACUCAAAAUUUGACCAAACACUUGCUAAUUAAAUUAGAGGCUUUUCAAUUGGACUUUAUCCCAAAAUAUUUGCCUUUUUUUUUUUUUUCAGAGUUCCAAGGGCUUCUAACAUAUCUUUUCCCCAGUUCUUAAACAUGACUUCCCUCUCACUCUGGAUUCUUUUAUGUUUCAUGUCUGUCUAUGAUUUGUUAUGAGUAGAAUUCUAAGCCAGUGGUUCACGAAGUAUGGGUCCCCACCUGGCUGCAUAAACAUGCAGACCUGUACCAGAACAACGUUAGUCAUUCUGGGGUUGGUCCAGCACUUACGUUCUGGGUGAUUAAGAUGCAUAUUCUAGUUUGAGAACUACUGACUUCUGUCAUGGUCAUCCCUAAUAUACUUGACACUUAGAUUUCAGAGCUUACUUUCUGAAGCUCGGUUGAUAUUUACAACUCUGGGCAGCUCCAUCUGAAUGUCCUGCAAGUAGAGAUUAGUUUGGAAAGUUUUAUUAGAUGAAUUACCUAAGUUAAAAUCUCUGAGUUUUCAGUAAAAAUUUAAUGAAUAAAUGA